RNAcentral lists this ribosomal RNA (327 nucleotides) under uncultured eukaryote. RNAcentral's name for it is "partial 18S ribosomal RNA". It matches the Rfam family "Eukaryotic small subunit ribosomal RNA", at positions 1470 to 1796 of the family's 1831-position model. The record is from RNAcentral.
CCCUUAGAUGUUCUGGGCCGCACACGCGCUACACUGAAGGAGGCAGCGUGUACUCCUGGAUCGAAAGAUUUGGGUAACCCGCGAAUCUCCUUCGUGCUAGGGAUUAAGGUUUGCAAUUAUCCUUCAUGAACGAGGAAUUCCCAGUAAGUGCAAGUCAUAAGCUUGCGCUGACUACGUCCCUGCCCUUUGUACACACCGCCCGUCGCUACUACCGAUUGAAUGAUUUAGUGAGGACUUCGGACUGGGACCGAUGCGGCUUUCGGGCUGCGUCGGUAUUCUGGAAAGAUGUCCAAACUGUAUCAUUUAGAGGAAGUAAAAGUCGUAACA